CCUACGGGAGACAGCAGUGAGGAAUAUUGGUCAAUGGGCGGAAGCCUGAACCAGCCAAGUAGCGUGCGGGAUGAAGGCCCUACGGGUCGUAAACCGCUUUUGCACGGGGAUAACACCCUCCACUUGUGGAGGUCUGCAGGUACCGUGCGAAUAAGGGCCGGCUAAUUCCGUGCCAGCAGCCGCGGUAAUACGGAAGGCCCGAGCGUUAUCCGGAUUCAUUGGGCUAAAAGGGAGCGUAGGCGGGCGUUCAAGUCAGCUGUAAAAUCGCGCGGCUCAACCGCGCCCCGCAGUUGAAACUGGACGCAUUGAGUUCACAAUAGGCAGGCGGAAUUCGUGGUGUAGCGGUGAAAUGCAUAGAUAUCACGAGGAACCCCGAUUGCGAAGGCAGCCUGCCGGGGUGCGACUGACGCUGAGGCUCGAAGGUGCGGGUAUCAAACAGGAUUAGAUACCCGGGUAGUC
This 459-nucleotide ribosomal RNA is filed under the name uncultured bacterium. Its description in RNAcentral is "partial 16S ribosomal RNA". It matches the Rfam family "Bacterial small subunit ribosomal RNA", at positions 338 to 795 of the family's 1533-position model. The record is from RNAcentral.